GCGGGAGUGGUGGAACGGUAGACACGCAGGAUUUAGGUUCCUGUGCCGCAAGGCGUGAGGGUUCGAGUCCCUCCUUCCGCACCG
Molecule: transfer RNA, 84 nt
Filed under: Curtobacterium sp. Leaf183
Lineage: Bacteria; Bacillati; Actinomycetota; Actinomycetes; Micrococcales; Microbacteriaceae
Description: tRNA-Leu
Rfam family: tRNA
About the family: Transfer RNA (tRNA) molecules are approximately 80 nucleotides in length. Their secondary structure includes four short double-helical elements and three loops (D, anti-codon, and T loops).
Source: RNAcentral